RNAcentral lists this long non-coding RNA (1211 nucleotides) under Chrysolophus pictus (golden pheasant). RNAcentral describes it as "lncRNA (ENSCPIG00010001505.1)". Lineage: Eukaryota; Metazoa; Chordata; Aves; Galliformes; Phasianidae. The record is from RNAcentral.
AAGCCCUGGGUUUCACGCACACCCGGAGCCCCUGGGGUGAUUCUGAGUACAUCCUAGUGAUUUUUUUUCAAAGAUAUAACUCCAUUCUCAGCACAAGGACCACUGAGUGCUCUCUGGUCCUGUAGCCAGCAUAGAGAAAGCAAGCCUCAGUCUUGAGCAGAAGAUAAGGAGCAGAAUGACCUUGCAUCUUCCGUCCAUACACCUGAGGUUAACAGUCAAGGAACCUGAGGCCAGGUGGGAUCAGAGCACACAGGGUUGGUGCCCGUGGCACUGCUGGACUCGGAGCUGCAGAACCACCAUGUCCUCUCUCCUUAUCACCCUCCACAUGCUCCUUUUUGGGAUGGAUUUUGAAGAGUCAGCAGAGAGCAAUUGAGGUGCUGCCGCAUCCUUGCCAGAAGUUAACAGGCCCUGACACUGCUCACCCCGGUGCUGAGAGGCAUCAGGAGCUUCAGCACUGAGUUUGCAUGCAGCCCCGUGGGUCCCCAGCUGCCAACAUUCACGUUUCAGCCCAAGAUUUCCCAUCCAUGCUAAGCAUAUUGCUGGCAAGGGCCACGUUGCUCAAUGACCAUGCUUUCCAUGCAAGGAUGAAUUCAUAGCUACAAAGGUCACAGGAUAGCAUGGUUUGGGUUGGAAGAGGCCUCUAAAUACCACUUAGUUCCCUUGCUGUUUGCAUGGACGUCCCAUAGACCCCAAAGCCCCAUCCAAGCCAGCCUUGAGCACUUCCAGGGAUGGGGCACCCACACUUCCCUGGGCAGCAGUGCCAGGGUCUCACUGUCCCCAUAGUACAGCAUUUCUUCAUUAUAUGUGCUACCCAACCAGAUGCACCCAGAGAUACUGGGACAGCAGGGAAAUGGAGUCCCAGGCUCCUUUUGGAGCCCCAAGCCCAUCACUCACUGUUUUAAUUGAGAUGCCAAAGCCAAGGUAAGAUGCUGAACCUCCUAGGCUUGUGUUCAUUUCUGGUAAGUAACGACUAUUAGUAUUCAGGCCAGAGACCUCACAGCAUCAUACAGUUCAAUAUUUUCUGCCCCUGUAACAAAGGCAAUCCAUUUUGUAUGCAGAAUGCAGGAGUGCAACCUUUUGUUACGUGAGUUUCUUAAAUUUUUAUCUCAAAAAUCAAUGAAGGAAUUGGAAUUCCUCGUCUCAUUGUAUAGGCAGGAGAAAAAGGGAGAGAGCAUGAGGGAAAAUGAUGAAAGAGGGGGAAAAGGGGGGAA